RNAcentral lists this transfer RNA (85 nucleotides) under Burkholderia ubonensis. RNAcentral's name for it is "tRNA-Tyr". It matches the Rfam family "tRNA". Rfam says of the family: Transfer RNA (tRNA) molecules are approximately 80 nucleotides in length. The record is from RNAcentral. Lineage: Bacteria; Pseudomonadati; Pseudomonadota; Betaproteobacteria; Burkholderiales; Burkholderiaceae.
GGGGAUGUGGCUGAGUGGCCGAAAGCGGCGGACUGUAAAUCCGUUCUCAAAAAGCGCGGUGGUUCGAAUCCACCCGUCCCCACCA